CAGAGCCUGGACUUGAACCCGAUCCAACAUCUCUGGAGAGACCUGAAAAUAUCUGUGCAGUGACACAAGAAGCCUUAAGGCUGUAAUCACUGCCAAAGGUGUUUCAAGAAAGUGCUGUGUAAAGGGUCUGAAUACUUAUGUAAAUGUGAUAUUUUAAUAAAUGUUUUAUAUUUAUACGUUUGCAAGUAGGCAGUAGGCAAUAAUUUCCUUUCUUUUUCGGCAUCAGACAUGACUAACUCUCACUUGAAACAUCGUUUUUGUAUUUAACAGGCUAAAUUACACUAUGUUAACAUAUGAACCCAACGUGAUCUCUUCUCCCCGGGCGCCGAAGACGGGGAUGUCGAUUAAGGCAGCCCUCCGCACCUCUCUGAUUCAGAGGUGUUGGGUUAAAUGCGGAAGACACGUUUCAGUUGAAUGCAUUCAGUUGUACAACUGACUAGUUUGACAGCAUACAUCGCUGCUGAUGACAGUAUACAUUUCCACUUCAACAAAAUACCUGCCAGACUGGUUCUUUCUCUUUAUAUGAAGAAGAUGAGGUGGAAAGACAUGAGCACAACUCUACAGCAAGAGUGAUUCCGACUACGCUUGGACCAUUCUGGCCGCGCGCUUCUGGGACCGUUCUGGCUACGCUUCCGGGACCGUUCUGGCUACGCUUCCGGGACCGUUCUGGCUACGCUUCCGGGACCGUUCUGGCUACGCUUCCGGGACCGUUCUGGCUACGCUACCAGGACCAUUCUGGCUACGCUACCAGGACCAUUCUGGCUACACUUUCUGGGCCAUUCUGACUAUGCUUCUGGGGCCAUUCUGGCAACUCUGCCUCUACUCUGUUUAGAUGAAUUACUAGAAACUGCAGAGUGAUAACUGCCACCUCACUGUGCUCAUCACGGAUUUGGACAACAUGCUAUUUAAAGGUAAUUUAAGAUGACAUAUGCAGGGUUUACUAUGAAUCUGGUCUCUGCGAGCGAACUCAGGAACUUUGCCUUUAAAAGGUGCAUUGCAUACAUUGCUGAUUGGUUAAAAGUCAAUUCCACAAGUCACCACCUGCUAAAUCUAUGAUGUUAAAAUGCCUAUUUACUCUGUUCCAUCUGACUGCGCAAUCCACCGUCUCAUCAGCCCAGCCAGGCAAUUUAUAAACUUGAUCUCCACUAUAAAAAACUUCUAGACAUUAUCUCACAUUUACUAAAGAUUUUCAUUUAGUUUUCAACAGUGGAGAUUUGUAAUAACCUUGCUGUCUGUCUCUCCGACAUUUGCAACAUUGUUUCAAUAUUAAAAUUGGAUCUCCAGCUGUCCUAUAGUAAGGAACGUGUCGGGAGUCAGGACGAGACAGACAGACAGACAGGCAGCUUCUCUUAGCCAGUCUUGAAUUAUGAAUCAGCUGGCAUCAUUUUUAUGGAUAUAUACAAAGAAAUAUAAAUUGAAAAAAGGUACCGCGAAAUGAAGUAGUGCUAGUGUGCAGUCUUUCCAGCUUCAGUUUGAAGUGAUUGUGUUAGCUGUGUUGGCUAGCUCCUGUGAACAAAAGUAUCCUGAUGAGAGAGCACAUUUUCUAUGCCAGGCUAAAUUGUGCCUCAUUAGCUCAUUGUUAUGGAUGUAUCCAAAUAAAUGUCACUAGAAAACAGUUUAAACAAAUGCAAAUGCAGCUACUGUUAUUCUGGCUGCACUGUUUGAUGUGCUGUAAAUUAGCUGUAGUUGACUAGCUAGCAAGCAAGGGAUAAGAACGUUGCCAGCUAGUAUGACAAUGGAACAUUUAGAACGGACAACUGGGUCGCGUCCAUAGAUACAGAACAAAAAGACUGAACGACUGGUUCGCAUCUCUGGCAACCGAAUCGAUAGAACAACCAGCCGGCUUGGGUAACAACCCUAGAUUUGUGUCGGGACUAUAUCUUGUGGAAGGGUGAAAUAGUAUGAAUAAAUUCAGCAAAAUAACGUUUUUAAUUAAAUUAUGUAUAUCAUUAUUUGAAUAUGUUGGUUAACCCUUUGUAUGCCCUCAAUAUUUUGGCACGGUUUGCUGGCCCUGGACUUCGUCUUGGGCCUAACAACACCCGUGCCAAUAUAUCCUCCAAACACCGGCUUCUCGGGCAUUAUCACUUAAUUAUUCUAUCAGCAUUGUGCAAUGGGGAUAACAGUUCUAACUACAUAUAGUACAACAACAAUUUUUUUUUUUUAAAUAAUGAAAUGUAUGCAUUCACUACUGUAAGUCGCUCUGGAUAAGAGCGUCUGCUAAAUGACUAAAAUGUAAAUGUAAAUAUAAUAGAUAAUCUUUGCUAUAUUACAAAGCAUCAUGCCCCUAAGCCCGACAUCCACCUGGCACAGGAAGAUUUAAGUGUCCUCCCCAAGUCCCUCCCCAAUAGUACCCGCAAAACACAAGUCUCAACGUCAACAGUGAAGAGGCGACUCCGGAAUGCUGGCCUUCUAGGCAGAGUUGCAAAGAUAAAAAGCCAUAUCUCUGAUUGGUCAAUAAAAAGAAAAGAUUAAGAUGGGCAAAAGAACACAGACACUGGACAGGGGAACUCUGCCUAGAAGGCCAGCAUCCCGGAGUCGCCUCUUCACUGUUGACGUUGAGACUGGUGUUUUGCGGGUACUAUUUAAUGAAACUGCCAGUUGAGGUCUUGUGAGGCGUCUGUUUCUCAAACUAGACUCUCUAAUGUACUUGUCCUCUUGCUCAGUUGUGCACCAGGGCCUCCCACACCUCUUUCUAUUCUGGUCAGAGACAGUUUGCACUGUUCUGUGAAGGGAGUAGUACACAGCGCUGUAUGAGAUCUUCAGUUUCUUGGCAAUUUCUCGCAUGGAAUAGCCUUCAUUUCUCAGGACAAGAAUAGACUGACGAGUUUCAGAAGAAAGGUUUUUGUUUCUGGCCAUUUUGAGCCUGUAAUUGAACCCACAAAUGCUGAUGCUCCAGAUACUCAACUAGUCUAAAGAAGGAGUUUUAUUGCUUCUUUAAUCAGGACAACAGUUUUCAGCUGUGCUAACAUAAUCGCAAAAGGGUUUUCUAAUGAUCAAUAAGCCUUUUAAAAUGAUAAACUUGGAUUAGCUAACACAACGUGCCAUUGGAACACAGGAGUGAUUGUUGUUGAUAAUGGGCCUCUGUAUGCCUAUGUAGAUAUUCCAUAAAAAAAUCUGCAGAUUUCAGCUACAAUACUCAUUUACAUUAACAAUGUCUACACUGUAUUUCUGAUGAAUUUGAUGUUAUUUUAAUGGCCAAUUUUUUUUUGCUUUUCUUUCAAAAACAAGGACAUUUCUAAGUGACCCCAAACUUUUGAAUGGUAGUGUACUUAAGUAUCAGAAGUAUUUUUUCUUUGUUUAACCUUUCUUUAACUAUGAAAGUCAGUUAAGAACAAAUUCUUACUUACAAUGACAGCCAAAAACUAACCCGGACGACACUGGGCCAAUUGUGCGCCGCCCUAUGGGACUCCCAAUCACCGGCAGUUGUGAUACAGCCUGUAAUCGAACCAGGAUCUGUAGUGACACCUCUAGCACUGAGAUGCAGUACCUUAGAGCGCUGCGUCACUCGGGAGCCCAAAGUAAAUGCUGUAAAUCAUAUAUUAAGCAAACCAGAUGGCACAAUUUAAUUUUUUUUCAUUUACAGACAGCCAGGGGCACCCUCCAGCACUCAGAUAUCAUUUACAAACAAACAAAGCAUUUGUGUUCAGUGUGUCUGCUAGAUUAGAGGCAGUAGGGAUCCCCUGUUCUCUUGAUAAGUAUGUGAAUUGGACCAUUUUCCUGUCCUUCUAAGCAUUCGAAUGUAACGAGUACUGUUGGAUGGCAGGAAAAAUGUAUGGGAGUAAAAAGUACAUAUUUAUUUUAGGAAUGUAGUGGAGUAAAAGUACUCAAAUCUAUAAAUAGUCAAGUAAAACUGGGGUGAAAGUAACACCGGGUAAAGUAACACGCCCAUUUUCUCAGAUAACACAGAAACUGGAAUGACGAAGUGAAGUCCGCAAGUUCCUAAUGUGGAGGACGAGCUCCCUGCAAAAAAAAAAAACAGUUAUCAACAAAAAGUGGUUUUGAGCGAUGUAUGUUAAAAAAAAUGGACCCAGAAGUAUUUUUCAGUCGUAGUGUUGUGUUUAGUUGUUUAAGAUUCCAAACAUGUCAUUUUCUUAACCCAUCUAGUGACUAAAUGACAGAAUAGGUUUUAAGUAUCAUGCUAGCUAGUCUUGGGUGUUAGCCUGGGAGAAGUUACAGGAGAGAAGGGUGGGACGAAUGCAACAACGUAAACUGAUGACCUGGAAUAAAAAAUAAUAAAAAAUACAAUUGUUUAAGCACAGGCCAUUGUCUCCCCUGGUUCAAAUUGCUUUUAUAAUGUUAGCAAAAUAUCAACAAAUGACUGAAUGUUUAAAAGUUAUAUGACAUCAUUCGAAUUAUGCCCUAAUCAAUUGCCUUAAUGGAUCAGUGAGAACACCUAAACUUUUAUCUGCAGGUAGCCUAGUGGUUAGAGCGUUGGGCCAGUAACCGAAAGGUUGCUAGAUCGAAUCCGAGCUGACAAGGUAAAAAACUGCCGUUCUGACCCUGAACAAGGCAGUUAUUCCACUGGUCCUAGGCCGUCAUUGUAAAUAAGAAUUUGUUCUUAAUUGACUUGCCAAAAAAAA
This 4580-nucleotide long non-coding RNA is filed under the name Salmo salar (Atlantic salmon). RNAcentral describes it as "lncRNA (ENSSSAG00000083985.1)". The stretch from base 2178 to 2231 matches the Rfam family "UnaL2 LINE 3' element". The record is from RNAcentral. Lineage: Eukaryota; Metazoa; Chordata; Actinopteri; Salmoniformes; Salmonidae.